Molecule: long non-coding RNA, 3242 nt
Filed under: Mus musculus (house mouse)
Lineage: Eukaryota; Metazoa; Chordata; Mammalia; Rodentia; Muridae
Description: long non-coding RNA chr18:40411627-40414869
Source: RNAcentral
AGGCUUCCUGGUAGCCUGGUUUCCCCUAGAAAUUAUCUUUGCAUGCUGCUAUAUUUGACUGAGGUCGUGAUUUCUCUGACAAUGGGAUUCUGUGCCCAGACACCCCAAACCCUCUUCUACACGACUAAUAUUUCUGUCUUGGUUUUCUUCACCCUUAAACUUGCACAGCUUCCAGACACUUCGUCUAGGACACCCCAGCUUGAUUUUCUUUUGCAACACAGUACAGGAUUCAAACAAGCACAUAUUGCUAAUUUUAACCUGUUUUUUAUUAAAAUUUUUAAAUGAUAUCUGGAACAAAAUGGAAUUUCAGAGCUUCAAGACAGUUUUACUCAUCAGUUUGGCCACAAUACAGACCUUUUGCUUGAUAUUUAGAAUGAUUCAUAUGAAUAAAGGUGUCCAAGGUGUUUUUUUUUAAAUGUUUUUUUUUAUUACGUAUUUUCCUCAAUUACAUUUCCAAUGCUAUCCCAAAAGUCCCCCAUACCUUUGUUUUUUAAUCACUGGUUCAGGUGAAGGGUACCACCCACCGUUCCUUACCAUACCUGGAUUAUUUACCUGUUGUGAUAAGACACAAAAAUAGCUAAACCCCAGUAACUGAUAAGGAAAAUGAAGUUUAGUUUUAUAGGAAGAAAGCCAAAGAUUGGGUAGCUUUAUCUGUUUGGUUUCUGAAGCAGAUUCUCUGGUUACCUCACAGUGUGUGGGUAAUAUCAUGGUAGACGUGUGCUAGAGACCGCACAAUCUCACAGUAAGAAUAUCACGGUAGACGUGUGCUACAGAUCACACAAUCUCACAGUAAGAAGGGAAGUAGCAAGGACUUCGGAAUGUCUUCUUGAUUUUUUUUUUUCUAAACUGUGAUCUUCAUUAUAGUGCUAAAUUGUCAUGUGAUGUUUAAGCCCUCUCUUGUCUCUUCCAAACCACGCCCCCCUCAGCUUCCUACCCCAAUCCUGGUUCAGAGUAAUCCCAUAGCUCUGUAACAGCAAGAGAGACAUACAGCAAACAGUUAAAGACAUUGAGUGCACCGUGUCCUUGAGAAGAGAACAAACCAUUUCCAACACAGGUUGCUGCUGUUGACCUUAUGGUGUAAAAACGGCUGUCAGGCAGCUAGAAGCUUGUCCAUGGAAGGGGGGCUCAGUAGGGACUUCCCGGGUCCUGCCUUGACUACCCCUGCCAUUUCUACUCGACAUUUAUAAGCUCCUGAUUUGGUGACUGGAACCUCUGCUCUUUCAAUCAGGCUAUUCCUGCCCUCUCUGCUGGAUGCUGUCAGCUGCUUUGAGGAUGGUCUGCUGUCUGUUUCUUCUAUUUAUCAGCUAAUUGAUAUUUGUUCUUCUAUUUGGUUAGCUGUCAAUAAGCUCCCUCAUUAAAAAUUUCAAAGUAAGACAAUCUUAGAUCAUCCUCAAAACUGUACAGAACGCUCACAGGGGCUAGCUGGGCUUCUAUGAGAAGUUCAUCCAUGCUUUCUCAGGCCAACACUCCAGUGAGCUAUCCACUUUGCACUGAGCUGCUCCUCCUUACAGUGAUAGAAUCGCUUACUACCACAAACCGGGAGCCACACCUUUAACAUAUCUUGAAACACGUUCAAAACAUACGUAAACUACAGCAAUGCCAAUUUCUAUAUUUGUCUCACAAAUUGCAAAAAUUAAAUCCCUUCCAAGGCAGUGAAUACAGCGUGCCAAAAAUGCAGAACUAGUUGUUCUUUUUAUAUCAGAGAAAGAUGAAAAUUAUUGUGUUUGGAGGCUAUCUCUCUGUCACAGUAAAGACAUAAAACAAAGCUAUAUUGUAUGGGAGAAUUCCAAUAGUAAAAUAUAAAAUGCCUGGACAUAUUCCGUUUUUAAAUAAAUAUUAAAUUGAUUGAAAAACUCUGUAUGUAUGUGUACCACAUGCAUGCUCACAUAGUUCAGAGGCUAGAAGACAGCACAUGAUCCCCUAGAACUAGAGUCAUAGAUGGUUGUAAGCCACUGUGUGGAUGAUGGGAACAAGUAUCCAUAACUGCUGGGAUGUUUCUCCAGACAUCAUAUUAAUUUUUUUAAUAGGUGUCUCAGUUACAUGAAACCAGUGACUUUAUAUGAAUUUCUAGGUGAGUAGGAUGGGUUUUUAAAUCUCACAGGACCCAUCCUGCUGCAGUCAGUCAUCAGUGCAUGAGAAGUUCCCAUUGAUAACAGACACAUCAGGGCUGGCCUGUUCGAAGCUUGGCGCUCUGGGAGCUUAAUGGGCAUGUUCCAGCAAGAAAAUGGGACUUAACACUACUAGGUAAUUCAUGAAAGAACCGUGUUGCUCUUUUGAGAUAAAUUUGCAUGGAUUGUUUUCUUUUUCUUUCCUAGAAUUUACAUUUUAAUUCAUACAUACAUACAUACAUAUAUGCAUGUGUGUAUGUAUGUGUAUGCAUAUGUAUAUAUGUAUAUGAAUAAUAUAUAUACAUAAACAUACCCACAUAUAUAUGAGACUCUAAUUUUAUUUUUCACUAGAAAAUUCUCUAAUUUUCACAUUGAAUUCUUCAAUUCCUAACACCUGAAAAAUAAAAAAGUUAUUUGCAAGAAACAAGAGAAUUGCAAAUUGAGUGUGUGUGUGUGUGUGUGUGUGUGUGUGUGUGUGUGUGUGUGUAUUUAUAGUGUCAGGGAUCAAAGCCACAGAUUUGUAUAUGCUAACUAAGUAUUCUACCACUGAGUUAAAUCUCUGACUGUAGCUUAAAUUUAGUUUAAAUUUAAAUUUAGCUUAAAAUUUAGGGCUGGAUACCAUCCAAAAUACAAUAACACUUUAAAUUGGGCCUCAGAGUCAAACAGAUAUUUGUACUGGGUGAGUAAUUAGGUAAAUAUAUUAUCUUAGGACACUGAUUGAUUUUGUUUAAAUUCCUUAUGGAGUUUUUGUUUGGUUGGUUUUUGUUUUUGUUUUUUUUUAAAUUUGUACUUUGUUCUCAUCCUGGGUCCUCCGUUAUUGCUUUUAAUUCAUCCUGUUCAUACUACGCUGAAACAAGUUUCAAUGUGGACGGGCUGGAAGCUGGAAAACAGGUUAGAACAGACACAAUAGCUGACAUGAUUCAUGUCAUUAGGACAACAUGCCCUUUGGAAUGUUUACUUAAAGAAAAAAAUAAACCAAUCCUAACCCUUGAGAGACUUUAGGCGCCAGGGAGUGGGGAGGAGUGGCUUGAUGAGGGGAUGGGAGUUAGGGACAUCCUCUUGGAGAAAAGAGGGAGGAGAAUGGGGUGAGGAACUGUGGGAGAGUGGACCAGGAGGAGGGUAAUGACUGGACUG